RNAcentral lists this ribosomal RNA (264 nucleotides) under uncultured bacterium. RNAcentral's name for it is "partial 16S ribosomal RNA". It matches the Rfam family "Bacterial small subunit ribosomal RNA", at positions 524 to 787 of the family's 1533-position model. The record is from RNAcentral.
UACGAAGGGGGCUAGCGUUGCUCGGAAUCACUGGGCGUAAAGGGUGCGUAGGCGGGUCUUUAAGUCAGGGGUGAAAUCCUGGAGCUCAACUCCAGAACUGCCUUUGAUACUGGGGAUCUCGAGUCCGGGAGAGGUGAGUGGAACUGCGAGUGUAGAGGUGAAAUUCGUAGAUAUCCGCAAGAACACCAGUGGCGAAGGCGGCUCACUGGCCCGGUACUGACGCUGAGGUGCGAAAGCGUGGGGAGCAAACAGGAUUAGAUACCC